GAUGAACGCUGGCGGCGUGCCUAAUACAUGCAAGUCGAGCGAACAGACGAGGAGCUUGCUCCUCUGACGUUAGCGGCGGACGGGUGAGUAACACGUGGAUAACCUACUUAUAAGUCUGGGAUAACUUCGGGACACCGGCGCUAAUACCGGAUAAUAUAUUGAUCCGCAUGGUUCAAUAGUGAAAGACGGUUUUGCUGUCACUUCUCGAUGGAUCCGCGCCGCAUUAGCUAGUUGGUAAGGUAACGGCUUACCAAGGCAACGAUGCGUAGCCGACCUGAGAGGGUGAUCGGCCACACUAGAACUGAGACACGGUCCAGGGUCCUACGGGAGGCAGCAGUAGGGAAUCGUCCGCAAUGGGCGAAAGCCUUACGGAGCAACGCCGCGUGAGAGAUAAAGGUCUUCGGAUCGUAAAACUCUGUUAUGAGGGAAGAACAAAUGUGGAAGUAACUAUGCACGUCGUGACGGUACCUAAUCAGAAAGCCACGGCUAACUACGUG
This 497-nucleotide ribosomal RNA is filed under the name uncultured bacterium. RNAcentral describes it as "partial 16S ribosomal RNA". It matches the Rfam family "Bacterial small subunit ribosomal RNA", at positions 28 to 507 of the family's 1533-position model. The record is from RNAcentral.